AUAUACAAAAAUGUAUCAUUUAAAAAUAAAAAAUUAUAGGGCAGAUGAAUACAAAGUCAAGUUAUUCAAUGUUUUUGAGACAUUUAAGUUCAUACUAUACAUUUGUACUUCUAUCUGUAGGAUAUUUCAUUUGAUUUAUCUCAUAUUGCAUAAACGUUAAAUCUUAGAACUGUUGGAUAAUUGAUUUGCUGUUCUGCAUGCUUAAAAAUUAAGUGGAUUGCAAUCUUUCAACUUUCACAGAAUUCAGUGAGAUUGACCAUUUAUAUACCUGUUACUUGCAGAUAACUAGCUCAUCCAAGUAGAGGGCAAUAUGUUUUUUUUUAUCUAUAUGUACAAUUAGGUUAUGUGUAUGUAAUACAAAAAAUAAUAAUAUGUAUAAUAUGACACUUUUAAACACCAAAAAGAAAAAAAAGAUAUUACUAUAAAACUCAUUUCUUUUGGCACAAACAUCUACUGGUUUUUGAAAAUUUUUCCAAGCUGCAGAUUGAAAAGCUUACAGAUAUAAAAUAUCAUUCAUUUUUUUCUCAGGUGAUAGAAAUCUUUAAAAAUUCUUUCAUAUCAAGUCAGUAGACAGACAAUAUUUGUUGAUUCUAAAUCACUUACCUUAUAAACUAUUAUUUAUCUUAUCUUAUCUUCACCAUAUCUUCACAGUGUAUAACAAUAUGUCUCAUGUUCAAAUGCAUACACAAAAAAAAACAUUUUCUUUUUCAGUUCGAGACAGUAUCUUACCUCCAGCAAAAAAAUGAUAAAGAAAGUAUUUGUUUAAUAUAUUAUUGCUAUCAUCAUAUAGAAGAUAAAAAAAACAAUUGCAACAAUUUGAACCCUACUUUACCUCGAUCAGACACAUAAUUGGUAUUUUAAUAUGUCUCUGGUAGAAUGAACAAAAGUGUAGCUGUGAAUAACUAUGUUUUGAUUGGUUAUUUGAAUAAUUCCCUUUUCUAUAUGUAAAAAGAGUGUUGAAAAACCAUUUCAAGAAAUGUAUUUAGCAAAACAAGAAAUGCAACUUUUCCUUCAAUAGUUUUCAAGAGAAUAAAAAAACCAACAAAAAAAGACUUGUGCAUUUAAUCAAAUUUCAAUAUUCAAUUUGCCAUAAGAUCCUUAACAUUUUAGAUUUAUCAUUAUCUCUAUAACAUACUUGUAUAUCAACAGUUGUAAUAAUGAACUAUAAGAAUAAGAACACAUAAAGUAAUUAAAAUGCCUAAAAGUCGUCAAUGUAUUUUGAUUAGAAUUUCUACUCUGGAUAAAAAAUAUGGUUGUUAUUGUAGUUUUUUGAUACACAAUUUUGAGUAUGAAAAUACUAGCAAUGUUUGAAGAAAAACUUGAGAUGAAAAUAAAAAUGGAU
Molecule: long non-coding RNA, 1342 nt
Filed under: Mytilus galloprovincialis (Mediterranean mussel)
Lineage: Eukaryota; Metazoa; Mollusca; Bivalvia; Mytilida; Mytilidae
Source: RNAcentral